CGGAGAGUUUGGAGUUGGAGGGCAGGGAAGGGAGCAGGGCCUGGGGGAGGGGGAGACAGAGGGGUGUUGGUGGGUGCUAUAUCUGGGAGUAAGUUUCCAAGAACGAGAGAGCCUGCACGCUUGCUUGCUAGCUACUCGGCUCGCCCCCCAUCUCACCCCCCAAGUGGAGAUUGGUCGUCUGGUCGGAUUGCCCAGGCACUUGUUGCCGAAACAGCCAAGACCUAGGUCUCUUCUCCCCACCUGCCCAGCAGCAUGAGAGCAGCAUGACUGGCCAGCCGCAGGAGAAGCCCCCAGAGCCAGGCCCCCGACCCAGCCGCCCGUUACCGAGGUCAAGGUGUGAAAAACGUUUCCCCACCUUCGUGGUGUCUGGUCCGUACCUCAGCCCGAGUGAGGAUGUAGACACCUCGACUCUGCACAUGUGUGGUUCAAGCCAACGGGAACCCCUGCCUCCGGCCACCCUCACAGACAUGUCAGCUGUGGAGUAGGGUGGACACUUCCGCUCAUCUUCUCAGGGUUUCAGGAUUUUUGGAUUUCCUUCAUUCCCUCUUUUUUUUUUUUUUUUUUUUUUCUUUU
Molecule: long non-coding RNA, 573 nt
Organism: Acomys russatus (golden spiny mouse)
Lineage: Eukaryota; Metazoa; Chordata; Mammalia; Rodentia; Muridae
Exons: 4
Source: RefSeq, a predicted model, not a curated record